Variovorax sp. PAMC 28711 is the source of this 71-nucleotide transfer RNA. It matches the Rfam family "tRNA". From Rfam's summary of the family: Transfer RNA (tRNA) molecules are approximately 80 nucleotides in length. Lineage: Bacteria; Pseudomonadati; Pseudomonadota; Betaproteobacteria; Burkholderiales; Comamonadaceae. The record is from Rfam.
GCGGGUGUAGUUCAAUGGCAGAACGGCAGCUUCCCAAGCUUCAUACGAGGGUUCGAUUCCCUUCACCCGCU